Molecule: ribosomal RNA, 327 nt
Filed under: uncultured eukaryote
Lineage: Eukaryota
Description: partial 18S ribosomal RNA
Rfam family: Eukaryotic small subunit ribosomal RNA
Source: RNAcentral
CCCUUAGAUGUUCUGGGCCGCACACGCGCUACACUGAAGGAGGCAGCGUGUACUCCUGGAUCGAAAGAUUUGGGUAACCCGCGAAUCUCCUUCGUGCUAGGGAUUGAGGUUUGCAAUUAUCCUUCAUGAACGAGGAAUUCCCAGUAAGUGCAAGUCAUAAGCUUGCGCUGACUACGUCCCUGCCCUUUGUACACACCGCCCGUCGCUACCACCGAUUGAAUGAUUUAGUGAGGACUUCGGACUGGGACCGAUGCGGCUUUCGGGCUGCGUCGGUAUUCUGGAAAGAUGUCCAAACUGUAUCAUUUAGAGGAAGUAAAAGUCGUAACA